GUGGUUUUUGAUGAAGCUGACAGUCUAUUUGGCAUGGGCUUUGCUGAGCAAUUGCACAAAAUCCUAACCCAGUUAAGUGAGAAUCGGCAGACCUUGCUGUUCAGUGCAACUUUGCCAAGUGCCCUUGCUGAGUUUGCUAAGGCUGGUCUACGAGAUCCUCAGCUUGUUCGACUUGAUCUGGAAACUAAAAUUAGCCCUGAUUUGAAGCUGAAGUUCUUCAACUUACGACAGGAGGAAAAACAUGCAGCAUUGCUGUAUUUGGUAAGGGAACAUAUUAGUUCUGAGCAGCAGACAUUGAUAUUUGUUUCAACGAAACAUCAUGUGGAGUUCCUUAAUAUCUUGUUUCGAGAAGAGGGCAUUGAGCCUUCUCUAUGCUAUGGUGAUAUGGAUCAAGAUGCUCGCAAGAUUCAUAUAUCAAGGUUUAGAGCGCAAAAAACUAUGCUGU
RNAcentral lists this unclassified non-coding RNA (445 nucleotides) under Hevea brasiliensis (rubber tree). Lineage: Eukaryota; Viridiplantae; Streptophyta; Magnoliopsida; Malpighiales; Euphorbiaceae. The record is from RNAcentral.